RNAcentral lists this ribosomal RNA (301 nucleotides) under uncultured bacterium. Its description in RNAcentral is "partial 16S ribosomal RNA". It matches the Rfam family "Bacterial small subunit ribosomal RNA", at positions 509 to 807 of the family's 1533-position model. The record is from RNAcentral.
CAGUCGCCGCGGGAAUACGGAGGGUGCGAGCGUUAAUCGGAAUAACUGGGCGUAAAGGGCACGCAGGCGGUUAUUUAAGUGAGGUGUGAAAGCCCCGGGCUUAACCUGGGAAUUGCAUUUCAGACUGGGUAACUAGAGUACUUUAGGGAGGGGUAGAAUUCCACGUGUAGCGGUGAAAUGCGUAGAGAUGUGGAGGAAUACCGAAGGCGAAGGCAGCCCCUUGGGAAUGUACUGACGCUCAUGUGCGAAAGCGUGGGGAGCAAACAGGAUUAGAUACCCCGGUAGUCCCUGUCUCUUAUAC